CUAAAAAUAUAUGGAUUAAUACAUUUUAUCACUUUUGGGAAAAUCUCCACAACAUUGAUUCUGCCCUAUUUUAUCCCUUUUAAUCUUCCAGAAAUCCAGAAGUAUGUUAGAUGCUCUGAUUGUAGCAUCAAUGCCUCUUAUCCUCUUAGCUUGGCAUUCUUUGUCUUGUGGUCUCUUUAGGCUUCUUUCUUUAUAGUUGUCUUCCAAUUCACUAAUUCUCUCUUCUAUGUCUAACUGGUUGUUAACUCUGUCUAUUGGAUUCUCAAUAUUGAUUAUUUAUUUUUUGCUAUUAUUGUUUUAGUAGCAGAAAUUAUAUUUUGUUCUCCUUCUAUAAAUCAUUAUCUAUGGAGAAGCAGAACAAAGCACUCUUACCACCAAGUUUUUUAAAAAAAGUUGGGUUCUUUGUUCAGUUGGUUGGCUUUGUUUUUUUGUUUUUCGUAUGCUUGACAUGAAAAUGCUAACAAUUUUCUUCUUUUCCCAAGACUUUGGUCACAAAAUAGAAUAAAAGCUUGGUCUACACAUCCUUCCGCAAGUUG
Molecule: long non-coding RNA, 536 nt
Filed under: Homo sapiens (human)
Lineage: Eukaryota; Metazoa; Chordata; Mammalia; Primates; Hominidae
Description: HSALNT0185632
Source: RNAcentral